This is a non-coding RNA of Cladorrhinum sp. PSN259, 105 nucleotides long. The record is from the annotation of a GenBank genome assembly. Lineage: Eukaryota; Fungi; Ascomycota; Sordariomycetes; Sordariales; Podosporaceae.
GGGCGUGUGGCUCAGUUGGUAGAGCGCCCGCUUAGCAUCUCCUCCUAUUCUUACGAGUGAAUAAGUUACUGCGGAAGGUCCCCGGUUCGAUUCCGGGCUCGUCCA